This 307-nucleotide ribosomal RNA is filed under the name uncultured bacterium. RNAcentral's name for it is "bacterial SSU rRNA". It matches the Rfam family "Bacterial small subunit ribosomal RNA", at positions 28 to 334 of the family's 1533-position model. The record is from RNAcentral.
GACGAACGCUGGCGGCGUGCUUAACACAUGCAAGUCGAACGGAAAGGCCUCUUGCUUGCAAGGGGUACUCGAGUGGCGAACGGGUGAGUAACACGUGGGUGAUCUGCCUUGCACUUCGGGAUAAGCCUGGGAAACUGGGUCUAAUACCGGAUAGGACCAUGCUUUAGUGUGUGUGGUGGAAAGUUUUUCGGUGCGAGAUGAGCCCGCGGCCUAUCAGCUUGUUGGUGGGGUAAUGGCCUACCAAGGCGACGACGGGUAGCCGGCCUGAGAGGGUGUACGGCCACAUUGGGACUGAGACACGGCCCAG